This is a non-coding RNA of Collybia nuda, 102 nucleotides long. Lineage: Eukaryota; Fungi; Basidiomycota; Agaricomycetes; Agaricales; Clitocybaceae. The record is from the annotation of a GenBank genome assembly.
GCCGUCGUGGCUCAAUGGUAGAGCGUCGCUUUCCUAUUCACAUGAUCCUGGUCAUGUAAUCGCCGCAGGCGAAGGUUGUGGGUUCGAUCCCCAUCGUCGGUA